Molecule: long non-coding RNA, 228 nt
Filed under: Brassica napus (rape)
Lineage: Eukaryota; Viridiplantae; Streptophyta; Magnoliopsida; Brassicales; Brassicaceae
Description: long non-coding RNA (BNAP_LNC010970)
Source: RNAcentral
UUUUCUCUCUCCUCUAUCCUCUCAAGUCGCAAGCAAACGUAAGGUCUUCAUUUUCUCCGGCGUAGUUCGGCGCGUCUGCGCGCGUCCGGCCGCCGGAGGUUUCCCUCUCCUCUCCUCUGGUUUUUGUCUUUGCUCUCCGGUCAUUUCCCCUCUUCUAUUGCUUUGUUCCGGUCUCUAGCUUGUCGCAUCUCCGUCGUUAGGGAAUCACGCGCAAGGUUUCGUCGACGG